AUACGAAGGGGGCUAGCGUUGCUCGGAAUCACUGGGCGUAAAGGGCGCGUAGGCGGCUGAUUUAGUCGAGGGUGAAAGCCCGUGGCUCAACCACGGAAUGGCCUUCGAUACUGAUUGGCUUGAGACCGGAAGAGGACAGCGGAACUGCGAGUGUAGAGGUGAAAUUCGUAGAUAUUCGCAAGAACACCAGUGGCGAAGGCGGCUGUCUGGUCCGGUUCUGACGCUGAGGCGCGAAAGCGUGGGGAGCAAACAGGAUUAGAAACCCUUGUAGUCC
RNAcentral lists this ribosomal RNA (274 nucleotides) under uncultured bacterium. RNAcentral describes it as "partial 16S ribosomal RNA". It matches the Rfam family "Bacterial small subunit ribosomal RNA", at positions 523 to 796 of the family's 1533-position model. The record is from RNAcentral.